UGCUAGGCUAAAUUCUUGCUCUGGGCCCAAAUAGAUCAAACUAAAAGGCAAAAUGGAAUGAUAAAUGCUAAAGAUCUAUGUCACCAAACUGAAACUAAGAUGCUACGUGACUUUCCCUCUCCCUAAAUCAGGAGAGCUAUCACAGCCAGUUUUCCUAAACAGUCCAGUUUCGAUUGGAGUGACGCUGAUGUUCUCUCUGCCUCCACCGCAACACACGAAAGUGACAGAAGAACCUGCUAAGUGAGAGUCAGGAUGACCUGAACCUGGGUCCUUCAAUCAAUAACCCACAGGCAAGGUAAUUACUUCAAACAACCACUUGAAUUUUCUGCUUCACUGUAUUUACAAUCGGUAGAAAACAA
Molecule: long non-coding RNA, 359 nt
Filed under: Cavia porcellus (domestic guinea pig)
Lineage: Eukaryota; Metazoa; Chordata; Mammalia; Rodentia; Caviidae
Description: lncRNA (ENSCPOG00000031049.1)
Source: RNAcentral